GAUGAACGCUGGCGGCGUGCCUAAUACAUGCAAGUCGAGCGAACAGAUAAGGAGCUUGCUCCUUUGACGUUAGCGGCGGACGGGUGAGUAACACGUGGAUAACCUACCUAUAAGACUGGGAUAACUUCGGGAAACCGGAGCUAAUACCGGAUAACAUAUUGAACCGCAUGGUUCAAUAGUGAAAGGCGGCUUUGCUGUCACUUAUAGAUGGAUCCGCGCCGUAUUAGCUAGUUGGUAAGGUAACGGCUUACCAAGGCAACGAUACGUAGCCGACCUGAGAGGGUGAUCGGCCACACUGGAACUGAGACACGGUCCAGACUCCUACGGGAGGCAGCAGUAGGGAAUCUUCCGCAAAGGGCGAAAGCCUGACGGAGCAACGCCGCGUGAGUGAUGAAGGUCUUCGGAUCGUAAAACUCUGUUAUCAGGGAAGAACAAAUGUGUAAGUAACUGCGCACAUCUUGACGGUACCUGAUCAGAAAGCCACGGCUAACUACGUG
This 497-nucleotide ribosomal RNA is filed under the name uncultured bacterium. Its description in RNAcentral is "partial 16S ribosomal RNA". It matches the Rfam family "Bacterial small subunit ribosomal RNA", at positions 28 to 507 of the family's 1533-position model. The record is from RNAcentral.